Molecule: long non-coding RNA, 261 nt
Filed under: Setaria viridis
Lineage: Eukaryota; Viridiplantae; Streptophyta; Magnoliopsida; Poales; Poaceae
Description: long non-coding RNA (SVIR_LNC011478)
Source: RNAcentral
GUAGGGCUAAACUUUAACCCGUGUCGUAUCAGAUAUUUAUAAUAAUUAGAAGUAUUAAAUAUAGAUUAAUUAUUAAACUAAUUGCACAGAUGGAGGCUAAUUCGCGAGAUGAAUCUAUUAAACUUAAUUAGUCUAAUUGAUUUAUCUCGUGAAUUUGUUCAGAGCUUCUGCAAUUAGUUUUAUAAUUAGCUCAUAUUUAGUCCUUCUAAUUAGGAUCCGAACAUCUGAUGUGACAAGUGAUAAACUUUAACCCUACAUCCC